AAAUUUCUUUGAGUCUGUAAGUUCUCCACUUACGAAAUAUAUUAUGGCUGAAGGUCGAAGGAAGAAGACAUUAAACCUUUGCCCACUUAUGGCAAUUACUCUGGAGACAACCACUGCUUGGAAAACAAGUAUUAUGAGCUACCUUGUAGCUUGUCUUAUGAAAGUGGAAAGAUCUUGUCGCAGCCCCAAAAAGCUCGCUUUACCCUGCCCUGAAGAACUAUAGCCACAAUGGUUCCUGCUGAAGAGGACUCUUGAAAGUCACCAGGAGUGUCCUUUAAUUUCCUGAAGGAAGGAGGUGACAACAUUUUUGGAGCCUCAUUCUGAAUAGUUUCACAGGGGCCAAAGAUGCUUCCUUUCCCAGUUCACUGGCUAGUUUGUCUGUUUUUCAACGAUACAAUUUGUUAGUAUCUGAACAAGGAAAUCGCCGCUAUUUACAUGGAAAGAAUCAUAGAGAUGACAGGGUUCCCCCCCAAAGCACUCACUGUGUAAUUGCUGAAGACAUUCCAAGCCACUCUAACGAAGUGUACUGUCUGCCAGUCAUUAUGCUCUUCUUGGAAGACCAUCUGUUGCACUUCAAAUAUGUAAAGGAAUACUUGGAUUCCAGUAACUUGAGCUACUUGUUUACAGAAAAACACACAUUGUGUAAGUAUUCUGCUGUACCUUUUACACUUGACAUAUUUAUACACAUGCUUGUAGCAUUAUGUAUAGUGCACGUUUUGGUAACUUUGCAGCGACUUGAUCGUAUUGUUAAAGCUUGAUAGACAUUUCUUUACAGUGACGAUAUUUUUAAUCUUUUUUAAAAUGGUUUGGUAGUAGUGACUAAUGCCGACUAGGUGGCUCUGGGCAUCUAGCCAUUUUUAGGUAGUUUAAUUUGUUAAAAAUUAUCUUUCUUCCCACCCAAAUCCCCUUGAAACCAUUUGGAGAAGAGAACUGUCGAACAGUUGCCAAUAAUAAGUCCUGCUGAGACCUCUAUACUCUCCUGAUAGAACUGCCUGUGCCAACUGGAGACUGACUGGCAUGAAUUUGAACUCUAUACUACUUGAUAUAUUUGCUUCACAUGAACCAAUUACAAUAAUUACCACCUUUGUAGCUGAAGUUUAAGCAUUCAGUCUGCACUUCAUACCUCAGGUUGCUGGCAAUAUGUUCAAUCCUAUAAUCUCAAUUUUUGUUGAGCUAAUAAAGUAGAAAAUAAAUACUUUGAAAAAUUAAGA
Molecule: long non-coding RNA, 1211 nt
Filed under: Dromaius novaehollandiae (emu)
Lineage: Eukaryota; Metazoa; Chordata; Aves; Casuariiformes; Dromaiidae
Description: lncRNA (ENSDNVG00000017626.1)
Source: RNAcentral